ACUUUUUUAGUAUAAAUAAAAUACCAUUGGCUUCCAACCAAUUAACUCUGGUUCAACCCCAGAAAAAAGUA
Molecule: transfer RNA, 71 nt
Filed under: Breviceps poweri (Power's rain frog)
Lineage: Eukaryota; Metazoa; Chordata; Amphibia; Anura; Brevicipitidae
Description: tRNA-Gly
Rfam family: tRNA
About the family: Transfer RNA (tRNA) molecules are approximately 80 nucleotides in length. Their secondary structure includes four short double-helical elements and three loops (D, anti-codon, and T loops). Further hydrogen bonds mediate the characteristic L-shaped molecular structure. tRNAs have two regions of fundamental functional importance: the anti-codon, which is responsible for specific mRNA codon recognition, and the 3' end, to which the tRNAs corresponding amino acid is attached (by aminoacyl-tRNA synthetases). tRNAs cope with the degeneracy of the genetic code in two manners: having more than one tRNA (with a specific anti-codon) for a particular amino acid; and 'wobble' base-pairing, i.e. permitting non-standard base-pairing at the 3rd anti-codon position.
Source: RNAcentral